ACCUGAACUCAGUCGAGAU
RNAcentral lists this ribosomal RNA (19 nucleotides) under Tylenchulus semipenetrans. Its description in RNAcentral is "partial 28S ribosomal RNA". Lineage: Eukaryota; Metazoa; Nematoda; Chromadorea; Rhabditida; Tylenchulidae. The record is from RNAcentral.